Molecule: long non-coding RNA, 513 nt
Organism: Chenopodium quinoa (quinoa)
Lineage: Eukaryota; Viridiplantae; Streptophyta; Magnoliopsida; Caryophyllales; Amaranthaceae
Exons: 2
Source: RefSeq, a predicted model, not a curated record
UAUUGUUUUAUUUAUUCAUUUUAUGUUCUCAUCUAAACUCACAUGUUCCUCAUCUAUAUAUUUUGGCAUUCUCUCUCCUCAAAACCCUAACCUCAACCCCUAAAUUAAAAUCCUCAUCUUCUCGCUCAUCCGAAUCCGCCAUUUUCCAUUUACUUUCUGUAUUCAAGAUAUAAAAAUUUCCACUCAUUGUUGAAGCGACUCCUACCAUCUCCAUAAGAAAAUCAUGCUCUAAGAAUUCAAACCUGAAAUCGUGCGUGGUCAGCUUGUUUGCCGUUUUUAAUUGGCCUUGAUGUCGGUUAGGAUGGAGGUUUCUGGGUUUUUUUGUUUUUGUGAUUUGUUCAAAAAAAUGAAGGUAUUUUGGUAAUUGGGGUGGAUAACUCUUUAUGUUUUUUUAGAUCUAUCAGUUUGGGUUUGGAUUUUAGUUUUCUUGAUCUUGAUUUUGGGGAUUUCAUAUUCAUAAACUUGGACUAUUUGAAUUCUCUUUAAUUAAUGAUUAAUUUCUAUUUUAGUUUA